This 1346-nucleotide ribosomal RNA is filed under the name uncultured bacterium. RNAcentral describes it as "partial 16S ribosomal RNA". It matches the Rfam family "Bacterial small subunit ribosomal RNA", at positions 28 to 1381 of the family's 1533-position model. The record is from RNAcentral.
GACGAACGCUGGCGGCGUGCUUAACACAUGCAAGUCGAACGGAAAGGCCCUGCUUUUGUGGGGUGCUCGAGCGGCGAACGGGUGAGUAACACGUGAGUAACCUGCCCUUGACUUUGGGAUAACUUCAGGAAACUGGGGCUAAUACCGGAUAGGAGCUCCUGCUGCAUGGUGGGGGUUGGAAAGUUUCGGCGGUUGGGGAUGGACUCGCGGCUUAUCAGCUUGUUGGUGGGGUAGUGGCUUACCAAGGCUUUGACGGGUAGCCGGCCUGAGAGGGUGACCGGCCACAUUGGGACUGAGAUACGGCCCAGACUCCUACGGGAGGCAGCAGUGGGGAAUAUUGCACAAUGGGCGGAAGCCUGAUGCAGCAACGCCGCGUGCGGGAUGACGGCCUUCGGGUUGUAAACCGCUUUCGCCUGUGACGAAGCGUGAGUGACGGUAAUGGGUAAAGAAGCACCGGCUAACUACGUGCCAGCAGCCGCGGUGAUACGUAGGGUGCGAGCGUUGUCCGGAUUUAUUGGGCGUAAAGGGCUCGUAGGUGGUUGAUCGCGUCGGAAGUGUAAUCUUGGGGCUUAACCCUGAGCGUGCUUUCGAUACGGGUUGACUUGAGGAAGGUAGGGGAGAAUGGAAUUCCUGGUGGAGCGGUGGAAUGCGCAGAUAUCAGGAGGAACACCAGUGGCGAAGGCGGUUCUCUGGGCCUUUCCUGACGCUGAGGAGCGAAAGCGUGGGGAGCGAACAGGCUUAGAUACCCUGGUAGUCCACGCUGUAAACGGUGGGUACUAGGUGUGGGGUCCAUUCCACGGGUUCCGUGCCGUAGCUAACGCUUUAAGUACCCCGCCUGGGGAGUACGGCCGCAAGGCUAAAACUCAAAGGAAUUGACGGGGCCCCGCACAAGCGGCGGAGCAUGCGGAUUAAUUCGAUGCAACGCGUAGAACCUUACCUGGGUUUGACAUGGAUCGGGAGUGCUCAGAGAUGGGUGUGCCUCUUUUGGGGUCGGUUCACAGGUGGUGCAUGGCUGUCGUCAGCUCGUGUCGUGAGAUGUUGGGUUAAGUCCCGCAACGAGCGCAACCCUUGUUCACUGUUGCCAGCACGUUAUGGUGGGGACUCAGUGGAGACCGCCGGGGUCAACUCGGAGGAAGGUGGGGAUGACGUCAAGUCAUCAUGCCCCUUAUGUCCAGGGCUUCACGCAUGCUACAAUGGCUGGUACAGAGAGUGGCGAGCCUGUGAGGGUGAGCGAAUCUCGGAAAGUCGGUCUCAGUUCGGAUUGGGGUCUGCAACUCGACCUCAUGAAGUCGGAGUCGCUAGUAAUCGCAGAUCAGCAACGCUGCGGUGAAUACGUUCCCGGGGCU